GCGGCUGUGGUGAAAUUGGCAGACACGUAUGAUUCAGGUUCAUAUGGGAAACCGUGCAGGUUCAAGUCCUGUCAGCCGCACCA
RNAcentral lists this transfer RNA (83 nucleotides) under Bacillota bacterium. RNAcentral's name for it is "tRNA-Leu". It matches the Rfam family "tRNA". From Rfam's summary of the family: Transfer RNA (tRNA) molecules are approximately 80 nucleotides in length. Their secondary structure includes four short double-helical elements and three loops (D, anti-codon, and T loops). Lineage: Bacteria; Bacillati; Bacillota. RNAcentral also lists the same sequence under 1 other name. The record is from RNAcentral.